CCUACGGGAGGCAGCAGUGGGGAAUUUUGGACAAUGGACGCAAGUCUGAUCCAGCCAUGCCGCGUGUGGGAAGAAGGCCUUCGGGUUGUAAACCACUUUUGUCAGGGAAGAAACGGCUCGGGUUAAUACCUUGGGCUAAUGACGGUACCUGAAGAAUAAGCACCGGCUAACUACGUGCCAGCAGCCGCGGUAAUACGUAGGGUGCAAGCGUUAAUCGGAAUUACUGGGCGUAAAGCGUGCGCAGGCGGUUAUGCAAGACAGAUGUGAAAUCCCCGGGCUCAACCUGGGAACUGCAUUUGUGACUGCAUGGCUAGAGUACGGUAGAGGGGGAUGGAAUUCCGCGUGUAGCAGUGAAAUGCGUAGAUAUGCGGAGGAACACCGAUGGCGAAGGCAAUCCCCUGGACCUGUACUGACGCUCAUGCACGAAAGCGUGGGGAGCAAACAGGAUUAGAUACCCUGGUAGUCCACGCCCUAAACGAUGUCAACUGGUUGUUGGGAGGGUUUCUUCUCAGUAACGUAGCUAACGCGUGAAGUUGACCGCCUGGGGAGUACGGCCGCAAGGUUGAAACUUAAAUGAAUUGNGNGNGAGAGNGCGAGACGACGACGAGGAGAGG
This 614-nucleotide ribosomal RNA is filed under the name uncultured bacterium. Its description in RNAcentral is "bacterial SSU rRNA". It matches the Rfam family "Bacterial small subunit ribosomal RNA", at positions 338 to 946 of the family's 1533-position model. The record is from RNAcentral.